CAGGACCACUAUCCAGACUAGGACACCAUGCUCCUUCAAAUCAAGGCUCGAGGCUGCUACUGUCGCAGAUAGUAGCCCUGCACAACCAGACCUCUCUGUGACAACAGGUCUUAGUGACAUUGCUGUGGAUGUGGACACCUUAAUGCUAGGCUUCCCAUCAGAAUCGCAAGCAUAUCGGAGUCCUCAAGCCUCUCCAAAUGUGUCACAGUCACUUGUAGCACCUGCGCCCACACACAGUAGGUUUGUUUUGCCAGUUACUUAGAACAUUCAUAACAC
This is a non-coding RNA of Dermacentor andersoni, 276 nucleotides long. The record is from RefSeq and is a predicted model, not a curated record. NCBI's taxonomy places the organism in Eukaryota, Metazoa, Arthropoda, Arachnida, Ixodida, Ixodidae.